AGUGAACGCUGGCGGUAGGCCUAACACAUGCAAGUCGAACGGCAGCACAGUAAGAGCUUGCUCUUACGGGUGGCGAGUGGCGGAUGGGUGAGGAAUACAUCGGAAUCUACUUUUUCGUGGGGGAUAACGUAGGGAAACUUACGCUAAUACCGCAUACGACCUACGGGUGAAAGCAGGGGAUCUUCGGACCUUGCGCGAUUGAAUGCGCCGAUGUCGGAUUAGCUAGUUGGCGGGGUAAAGGCCCACCAAGGCGACGAUCCGUAGCUGGUCUGAGAGGAUGAUCAGCCACACUGGAACUGAGACACGGUCCAGACUCCUACGGGAGGCAGCAGUGGGGAAUAUUGGACAAUGGGCGCAAGCCUGAUCCAGCCAUACCGCGUGGGUGAAGAAGGCCUUCGGGUUGCAAAGCCCUUUUGUUGGGAAAGAAAAGCAGCAGGUUAAUACCCCGCUGUUCUGACGGUACCCAAAGAAUAAGCACCGGCUAACUUCGUG
This 492-nucleotide ribosomal RNA is filed under the name uncultured bacterium. Its description in RNAcentral is "partial 16S ribosomal RNA". It matches the Rfam family "Bacterial small subunit ribosomal RNA", at positions 29 to 507 of the family's 1533-position model. The record is from RNAcentral.